GCAGCGAGCUUGCGAAGGAGGCUACAGCACCAUGUCGAGUUGGGAAGGGCCCUGAUCAAUCCUGUGUGGAUCACCAUUGGAGGGCUUCUACUUUAGAGUCUAAUGAAGGUUUCAAAAUUAUUAGAUUAUGAUCUUCUCAUUGGUAUAUGACUUCUGGUCUCUUCUUGAUAUGUAUAUUUUGAUCAUUUAAUUGUAAUCAUCAAGGGGUUCCUAGGGCUUUUGUGUUCUGGUAGACUAGUUUAAAUGUUAAAUUUUUUUUUUAAUUAUUGAAUGCAUGUAAAAAUUUUUAAAAUUAUAUUGUGUUGCAUCAUCAAAAUUCAACAGUAGCAUCAGAG
RNAcentral lists this long non-coding RNA (335 nucleotides) under Elaeis guineensis (African oil palm). Its description in RNAcentral is "long non-coding RNA (EGUI_LNC062915)". The record is from RNAcentral. Lineage: Eukaryota; Viridiplantae; Streptophyta; Magnoliopsida; Arecales; Arecaceae.